Molecule: long non-coding RNA, 4447 nt
Organism: Pan troglodytes (chimpanzee)
Lineage: Eukaryota; Metazoa; Chordata; Mammalia; Primates; Hominidae
Exons: 2
Source: RefSeq, a predicted model, not a curated record
AUCAGCUGAUGAUGGCCGCAGGAAGGUGGGCCUGGAAGAUAACAGCUAGCAGGCUAAGGCCAGACACUGACACUUGCAGUUGUCUUUGGUAGUUUUUUUGCACUAACUUCAGGAGGCAGCUCAUGAUCUCAGGAUGUAUGGAAAAAUAAUCUUUGUAUUACUAUUGUCAGGAGACGGAGCCAACCCUGAAAAUUCUGGGAAAAGAGGACGGAAGGCAGAGUGAACAGCAAGAGCAAAAAUUCUGAAACAGGAGGUAAGUUAGUGUUUUCAAGGAAAAGCUGGAGCUUUUAUCUGAAAAUCAGAUUCUGAAGCUAAGAACCAAUUUGAAAAUACAGUACUAUACCACUUCAACUAGGAAAUUAUGGCAUAAACCAGGAGUCUCCAAAAGCUUUUUGUGUUUACUUAAAAAUUCAUACAAAAUUUGCAUUCUAGGUCAUAAUAUACUAAUUUAAUUGGAGGAAACAAAGGCACUGGUAUGAUAUCAUCAUGCCUACUUUAUUCAUCCGUGUAUCCCCAGAAUCUAGCACAGUUCCCGAUUAGUAUUUAUAGUAGCAUAUUGGUUGAAUAAGCAAGGAAGGAGGUGAAGGGAGGGAGAAGGAGAGAUAAGCAGAGAGGGAGAGGAAGGAAGAAAGAAAAGGAAAAAUGAAGGAAGGAAAGAAGAGAGGAGGGAGAGAGAGAGGGAGGCAAGAAGGGAGAAGAGAGAAGGGAAGGGAAGAGACAGGAGGAAGGGGAGGAGGAAAGGAAAGAGGAAAUAUUUGUUUUCAUCUGGUUAGACACAGUGAGUGCUCCGCAUAGACAGAUCAUUAUUACCCUGUGCAUCUGACUCAUACCCCUGCAGGUACAUCAGUCUGAAAAGCACAUGUUAAGUGAAGAAACAAGGCUUCUUUCUUUCUUUCUUUCUUCUUUCUUUCUUUCUUUCUUUCUUUUUUUCAGGGAUCCAAGAAGAGAGCCUUGCUAGCUGUCUAUUUAAUUGGUACAGGAAAGAGUUACAGGAACUGUAUGCCAGGGAAUACAUGACUAUAAAUUCUUGAAAAGCAAAACCUGUGUCUUCGCUUAUGUGUCCCACACAUUGUCAGCCACAUAGUAGGCAGUCAAUAUCAACUACUCAAAAUGACAAAUGACAAAUGACCAGAAUUUUGUAGCAGACUAGUUUAGCCAUGAAAAAUCAUUUAACACCUGUGGGCCUCAGUUUUCUUGUGCCUAUUCAAUAAAGCGCCGAGUAGAUGGUAUCUACAAUCAUUUUUCAUUUGUAAACCCCAAUGAAUCCCCAAAAUUCAGCCUGAGAUGAGCUGGACUAGUUGCCAAAUCUAUAAAUAUCUUUAGCAUAGUGUGAAAUAGGGUUUUUAGAAAGAAACAGACACCCACUGUGAACUCCUUUGCAGAGAAGGUCUGAAUAGAGGGGAAAGUAGGGAUGGUAUCUCAAACUUACUUUGCAGUGAUUUUAAAUUAGGAAAUUUAGCUUAACAUUCUUGUGAUAAAUUUCUUUUCACCUUGGUUUCUAGAAGAUUAUUCAAAACAUCUAUGAGACUAUUUGAGAAGUAUACUUUUGGGGAAUUUCCUCCAAGUUAUCUUUAUAGAUUAUAUUUUGACACCAACUGCAAAUGUAAUAUCUUUUGCCCAAAAGAAAACCCAAUCCUACUUAUAUGGUGCUGACAAAAUCAGGCUGGACCUACAUUUUUACAUCAUAGAUUUCCAGCCAUUAUUAUCAUAUCCACAUCUUUAGUAAGUACCUAUCUGUGUAGUUUUCUGUGAUAAAUGAACUAAACUAAAACUAAAGCAAAAAUCUUGAAAAAAAAUUCCGGGUUUAUCUCUGAGUGUUGGGAUUAUAAGAUUUUAUUUUAUUUUUCUCAUUUUAAAUACUUUCUAAAUUUUCUGCAAAGAGAACCAUAUAAUAUAAUCAGGACAAGUUUCAAUAUAUUUUAAAAAGUAAACCGAACAAACACAAUCUCUGCUUUCUAAGAAGUCUUUAAUUUUUGUACGUUGGUCACUGACUAUGACUAUACAAUUUAUUUGUGAUAUUUAUUAAGAAUUUCUGUCUAACCCAAAUUAUUAUAUGUAAGCACUGGAAAAAUGAUGUCAUCUUUGUUUGUAGUGUACAAAGUUCUAUAAACAGCUAUUUAAUCAACUUUGGUAUUUCCAUGCCUAGAUUUAUAUACAGCAGGUUAGGUUCCGUACAUAGGCAGGUUCUGAAUAAUAAUAACCAACACUGAUAUAGCACCUACUUUGUGCCAUGCACUGUUCUAAGCAAUUUACAUACACUUAAUUUUUAAAAUUGUAGUAAAAUACACAUAAGAUAAAUUUACCAUUUGAACCAUUUUAAAGUGUACAAUCGGUAGCAUUUAAUGCAUUCAAAAUGAUGCACACCCAUCACCAUUAUCUAGUUUCAGAACAUUUUCAUCACUCCAAAAGGCAACCUCUUACCCAUUACCAGCCACUUCCAAUUCCUCCAGCCCUGGGAAACCACUAAUUUGUUUUCUACCUCUACAGAUUUACCCAUUUUAGAUAUUUCAUAUAAAUGGAAUCAUAUAAUAGGUAGCCUUUUGUGUAUGGCUUCUUUCACUUAAAAUAAUGUGUUUAAAGUUCAUCCAUACUGUAGCGUGUAUCAGUAUUUCAUUCCUUUUAUAAUAAAUAUUAUUCCAUUGUGUUGGUAUAUCACAUUUUGUUUAUCCAUCCAUCAUUUGAUUAAAAUUUGAGUUGGUAUAUUACAUUUUGCUUAUCCAUCCAUCAUUUGAUUAAAAUUUGUGUUGUUUCCACCUUUUGGCUGUUGUGAAUAGUGCUGCUAUAAAUAUUCCUGUACUAGUUUUGUUUGAACCCACUUUUAAUACUCAAAGAUGUAUAGGGGUAGAAUUGCUGGGUCAUAGUCAUUUUAUGUUUAACUUACUAAGGAACUGCUAAACUCUUUUCCACAGGAGCUGCACCUUUUGACCUUUUCACCAGGGUGUAUGAGGUGCCAAUUUCUCCACAAUCUUGCCAGAAAUUGUACUUUCUCAUUUUUUUAAUUAUAGCCAUUUCAGAGGGUAUGAAAUGGUUUUUCACUGUGGUUUCUUGCAUUUUCCUAAUAACUAAUGAUGCUGAGAAUCUUCUCAUGUAGUUGUUGGUAACUGCAUUUUGCAUAUCUUUGGAGAAAUGUUGGUUCUAGUCCUUCACCCAUUUUUAAAUUUAUUUUUAUCUUUCUGUUGCUAAGUCGUAAGAGUUCUUUCUAUGUUCUGGAUAAAGAGUCUUAUCAGAUAUACUAUUUGCAAAUCUUUUCCUUCAUUCUGUAGAUUUUUGUUUCUACUUUUGAUAGUGUCCUUUGAUGCACAAAUGUUUUUCAUUUUCAAGUCCAAUUUAUUUUUUUCUUUUGUUGCUUAUGCUUUUGAUAUCAUAUCUAAAAAUAAUUGCCAAAUUUAAAGUCAUAAAAAUCUCUCCCUAUGUUUUCUUCUAAGAGUUUUGUAGUUCUUCUCUUACAUUUAGCUCUUUGGUUUAUUAUCAGUUAAUAUUUCUAUAUGCUGUAUGUUAAGAGUCCACCUUUACUAUUUUGCAGUUGUCCCAGCACCAUUUGUUGAAGAGACUAUCCUUUGCCCAUUGAAUGGUCUUGACACCCUUCUUGAAAGUUAAUUGGCCGUGGAUAUAUGAGUUUAUUUCUGGAGUCUCAAUUCUAUCCUAAGAAUAUGUCUGUUCUUGGGGCAAAAUCACACAGAUUUUAUUGCUGUUACUUGGUUAUAAGUUUUGAAUUCAUGAAGUGUGAUUCACCAAACUUUGUUCUUCUUCCAGAUUGUUUUGGCUAUUUAGAUCCCUAACAAUUUCAUAGAAAUUUUAGGAUUAGGUUUUCCAUUCUUGCAAAAAACAAUUAUGUGCAUUUUAACUUAAUCUGUUCAAUAACUCUAUAAGGUAGAGACUAAUCCAUGUAUAAUGAUGGAACAAAAAUAUAGAGAUUAAGUAAAUUUUGCAAGGUCUCAGGUAGUUGCUAGAGGAAUUUGUUUGAGCCUAGGCAGUUCCACUGCAGAAUCUGUGCACUUGGAGAAUAUGUUAUGUUGCCUGUACCAUACGUAGUGAUGUUCCAGGAUUGGCUCCGUUACUCUUACAACAUUGUCACUCAGUGUUCUGCUUGUGCUUUCACCAAGCUGAAGACUUUAAUGAAGGUUGACGGUCUGUCUUCCUCACAUGGUGCAGCUAAGGAACUCUAACUGUGUGGCUGUUAUGUUAGCCUUUUGCUCCUUUUUAUAUGGGCUAUAGAAAACGUUUUUAAAUUCUGGAGGCCUCCUUUUGAUGUUAUCACUUAUUUCCCAGUCAUCAUUAUAUUUUUAAAAACCAAAAUAGAAGGAAAUAAAUACAAAACAUAAAACAUGAAUAGUACAGCUAUUUGAGGCAACUGAGAAUAGAGAUCAUGGCACUGAAAUUGCAUUUUGCUAGGAAAAAGACCACAAAAGUUCUCCCCUUGCUACCUUUCCUGAACUAUUCUGCUAGA